This 404-nucleotide ribosomal RNA is filed under the name Faecalibacterium longum. Its description in RNAcentral is "partial 16S ribosomal RNA". It matches the Rfam family "Bacterial small subunit ribosomal RNA", at positions 355 to 776 of the family's 1533-position model. The record is from RNAcentral. Lineage: Bacteria; Bacillati; Bacillota; Clostridia; Eubacteriales; Oscillospiraceae. RNAcentral also lists the same sequence under 4 other names.
UGGGGAAUAUUGCACAAUGGGGGAAACCCUGAUGCAGCGACGCCGCGUGGAGGAAGAAGGUCUUCGGAUUGUAAACUCCUGUUGUUGAGGAAGAUAAUGACGGUACUCAACAAGGAAGUGACGGCUAACUACGUGCCAGCAGCCGCGGUAAAACGUAGGUCACAAGCGUUGUCCGGAAUUACUGGGUGUAAAGGGAGCGCAGGCGGGAGAACAAGUUGGAAGUGAAAUCCAUGGGCUCAACCCAUGAACUGCUUUCAAAACUGUUUUUCUUGAGUAGUGCAGAGGUAGGCGGAAUUCCCGGUGUAGCGGUGGAAUGCGUAGAUAUCGGGAGGAACACCAGUGGCGAAGGCGGCCUACUGGGCACCAACUGACGCUGAGGCUCGAAAGUGUGGGUAGCAAACAGG